AACUAUAAUAACUUUUAGUAGCCAGUCUUCAACAAGAGAAGAUGGAUCCUGAGAAAUGGCAAGUGACAGGGGAAAUUCCAGCUGUUGUGCUGUUUUCUCUUUUGCAUUUCCAGGAAGUUGUGUCCUCGUGAUCCAUCUUGGCAAGGCAGCUUCCUCGUGGAAUUUUAGCACUUUCAAGGCCAGAAUAUUGCAUGUGAAGACUGAAAAAUUCCUUUAAAUAAACAAUCUUGAGAUCCAAAAUAUUUGACAAUACGUAUUUGAACAGCUGGCUGUGUUGUAAUCUGAUAUUUUUAAAUUGU
This 299-nucleotide long non-coding RNA is filed under the name Capra hircus (goat). RNAcentral's name for it is "lncRNA (ENSCHIG00000007162.1)". The record is from RNAcentral. Lineage: Eukaryota; Metazoa; Chordata; Mammalia; Artiodactyla; Bovidae.